Molecule: ribosomal RNA, 468 nt
Filed under: uncultured bacterium
Lineage: Bacteria
Description: partial 16S ribosomal RNA
Rfam family: Bacterial small subunit ribosomal RNA
Source: RNAcentral
GACGAACGCUGGCGGCGUGCUUAACACAUGCAAGUCGAACGGAAAGGCCCUGCUUUUGUGGGGAGCUCGAGUGGCGAGAGGGUGAGUAUCACGUGAGUAACCUGCCCUUGUCUUUGGGGUAACUUCAGGAGACUGGGGCUAAUAUCGGAUAGGAGCUCCUGCUGCAUGGUGGGGGUUGGAAAGUUUCGGCGGUUGGGGAUGGACUCGCGGCUUAUCAGCUUGUUGGUGGGGUAGUGGCUUACCAAGGCUUUGACGGGUAGCCGGCCUGAGAGGGUGACCGGCCACAUUGGGACUGAGGUACCGCCCGGACGCAUACGGGAGGAAGCGGUGAGGAUUAGUGCACGCAGGGCGGAAGCCUGAUGCAGCAACUCCGCGUGGUGGAUGACUGCCUUCGGGUUGUAACGCGCUUUCGCCUGUGACGCAGAGUGAGUGACGGUAACGGGUAAAGAAGCAACGGCUAACUACGUG